This 186-nucleotide small RNA is filed under the name Apilactobacillus ozensis DSM 23829 = JCM 17196. RNAcentral describes it as "Lactobacillus ozensis DSM 23829 = JCM 17196 Listeria sRNA rli28". It matches the Rfam family "Listeria sRNA rli28". Lineage: Bacteria; Bacillati; Bacillota; Bacilli; Lactobacillales; Lactobacillaceae. The record is from Rfam by way of RNAcentral.
AAUUUAAUGUAUAAUAACGUCUAGUAGAGAAGUUAAUGGACGGUGGCUGUCUUUUUCCCGAAGAGGUGAUUUCUAUGGAAAUAUGGAAUAAUCUACAGAAAGGUUUCACAGCCAAUGAGUGUUUUUCAAGCACUUAGUUUGAUGUUUAUGUUUGGUAUGUUUAUUUUAGCAUUGCUAACAUACAUC